AGGACGAACGCUGGCGGCGUGCUUAACACACGCAAGUCGAGCGGUAAGGCCCUUCGGGGUACACGAGCGGCGAACGGGUGAGUAACACGUGGGUGACCUGCCCCCUACUCUGGGAUAAGCCUGGGAAACUGGGUCUAAUACCGGAUAUGACACGGUCCUGCAUGGGGUUGUGUGGAAAGUGUGUUCUUAAUUGGGCACCUCGGUGGGGGAGUGGGCCCGCGGCCUAUCAGCUUGGUUGGUGGGUGAUGGCCUACCGAAGGCGACGACGGGUACGCCGGCCUGAGGAGGGCCGACCGGCCACGACGUGGGACUGACGACGACCGGCCAGACUCCGUACGGGAGGCAGCGAGGUCGGGAAUAGUGCGACGAAG
RNAcentral lists this ribosomal RNA (371 nucleotides) under uncultured soil bacterium. RNAcentral describes it as "bacterial SSU rRNA". It matches the Rfam family "Bacterial small subunit ribosomal RNA", at positions 26 to 374 of the family's 1533-position model. The record is from RNAcentral.